This 770-nucleotide ribosomal RNA is filed under the name uncultured bacterium. Its description in RNAcentral is "bacterial SSU rRNA". It matches the Rfam family "Bacterial small subunit ribosomal RNA", at positions 66 to 833 of the family's 1533-position model. The record is from RNAcentral.
ACGGCAGCGCGGGGCAACCUGGCGGCGAGUGGCGAACGGGUGAGUAAUAUAUCGGAACGUACCCUGGAGUGGGGGAUAACGUAGCGAAAGUUACGCUAAUACCGCAUACGAUCUAAGGAUGAAAGUGGGGGAUCGCAAGACCUCAUGCUCCUGGAGCGGCCGAUAUCUGAUUAGCUAGUUGGCGGGGUAAAAGCCCACCAAGGCAACGAUCAGUAGCUGGUCUGAGAGGACGACCAGCCACACUGGAACUGAGACACGGUCCAGACUCCUACGGGAGGCAGCAGUGGGGAAUUUUGGACAAUGGGCGCAAGCCUGAUCCAGCAAUGCCGCGUGAGUGAAGAAGGCCUUCGGGUUGUAAAGCUCUUUUGUCAGGGAAGAAACGGUGGGGGCUAAUAUCCCCCGCUAAUGACGGUACCUGAAGAAUAAGCACCGGCUAACUACGUGCCAGCAGCCGCGGUAAUACGUAGGGUGCAAGCGUUAAUCGGAAUUACUGGGCGUAAAGCGUGCGCAGGCGGUUUUGUAAGUCUGUCGUGAAAUCCCCGGGCUCAACCUGGGAAUUGCGAUGGAGACUGCAAGGCUAGAGUUUGGCAGAGGGGGGUAGAAUUCCACGUGUAGCAGUGAAAUGCGUAGAUAUGUGGAGGAACACCGAUGGCGAAGGCAGCCCCCUGGGUCAAAACUGACGCUCAUGCACGAAAGCGUGGGGAGCAAACAGGAUUAGAUACCCUGGUAGUCCACGCCCUAAACGAUGUCUACUAGUUGUCGGGUCUUAA